This is a long non-coding RNA of Gasterosteus aculeatus aculeatus (three-spined stickleback), 762 nucleotides long. Lineage: Eukaryota; Metazoa; Chordata; Actinopteri; Perciformes; Gasterosteidae. The record is from Ensembl.
GUGGCGUGUGCAGUAGUGGGUUGUCUUGGUGGGCACCGCGAUGAGAGUUGGACCAAUCUCGUCUGGGGUGGGUAGCCUUCGUAUUUUCGUUGCCACCAGUGCCCGCGGUGCAAUGCGGGCCUGGCUGGCAGGCUCGGGGGAAAGGACCCAUCUGUUGUAUGAGAUUAUUUCAAACCACAGACAACACAGGAUGUCACCUGUUUCGAGAGACUCAGGGUAGGAGGCAUUACGAGCAGGAAGCCACUGUGUGAUGUUUCUGGGUUGAAACAGAAACUCAUGAGCAGAGGAAAACACAGAAGACGGGCCAAGGUGCAAGCGAGGGCUUUCAUUCUGCGUGAGGAAGUCAUACACGGAAGGUCCGAAAAAUAGAGACAAACAAAUUCAACAGGGGGCAGGCUUAAUCCUAGAGUCAAGAACAGGUAAAGUUAUAAACCACCAGGAAAACACUGGAAGGAAAUACCGAACGGCAAUGAGUAAAUGGUUUAACUCGCCGAAAACACUCAAAAUGUCAGAGCAGAUAAUAUGAUAAAUACUACCUUGGGGAAUCACAGAAAAUGUUUCUAUUUAUUUAAUUGUAUGACAAUGUAAGUGUUCACAACUGGGGCAUCAAUGAUCCCGGUAUCAUAUAUUUUAAAUACUAUGUUAAUCACUAAUGACGUCACCCAUUUAACUGUAACCUUAUUGAUCCCUGUGUCAUAAAUAUGAAAUACUUUUAGGUUAAGCAUUAAUGAGGUAGAAACACAGAUGAUGGUGGUUACGUCU